AACGAACGCUGGCGGCAGGCCUAACACAUGCAAGUCGAGCGCCCCGCAAGGGGAGCGGCGGACGGGUGAGUAACGCGUGGGAACGUGCCUCUUGCUACGGAAUAGCCUCGGGAAACUGGGAGUAAUACCGUAUGUGCCCUACGGGGGAAAGAUUUAUCGGCAAGAGAUCGGCCCGCGUUGGAUUAGGUAGUUGGUGGGGUAAUGGCCUACCAAGCCGACGAUCCAUAGCUGGUUUGAGAGGAUGAUCAGCCACACUGGGACUGAGACACGGCCCAGACUCCUACGGGAGGCAGCAGUGGGGAAUAUUGGACAAUGGGCGCAAGCCUGAUCCAGCAAUGCCGCGUGUGUGAAGAAGGCCUGCGGGUUGUAAAGCACUUUUGUUCGGGAAGAAAUCAUGUCGGUUAAUACCCGAUGUGGAUGACGGUACCGAAAGAAUAAGCACCGGCUAACUUCGUGCCAGCAGCCGCGGUAAAGUACAGUGU
This 482-nucleotide ribosomal RNA is filed under the name uncultured bacterium. RNAcentral describes it as "bacterial SSU rRNA". It matches the Rfam family "Bacterial small subunit ribosomal RNA", at positions 29 to 533 of the family's 1533-position model. The record is from RNAcentral.